This 355-nucleotide ribosomal RNA is filed under the name Chloropicon laureae. RNAcentral's name for it is "partial Eukaryotic large subunit ribosomal RNA". It matches the Rfam family "Eukaryotic large subunit ribosomal RNA", at positions 1600 to 1919 of the family's 3401-position model. Lineage: Eukaryota; Viridiplantae; Chlorophyta; Chloropicophyceae; Chloropicales; Chloropicaceae. The record is from RNAcentral.
GGGAAUCCGGUCCGUAUUCCGGAACCCGACGCGGAACCGCUCCCUAGUGUUCGGGGCUCUUUUGUCUCGUCCGGGCAACCGGAAUGAACUCGAAGAAGCCGCCGGGCGGUCCGGGAAGAGUUCUCUUUUCUCUGUGAGCGUUGUACGUCCCUGGAAUCCUCUAGCCGGGCGAUAGGGACGCGAGCGCGAAGAGCACCGCUCGUUGCGGCGGUGUCCGUGACCGCCACGCGGACCUUGAAAAUUCGAGAGAGGGCCACGCGGAGUCUUCGCGUCGGUUCGUACCGAUAUCCGCAGCAGGUCUCCGAGGUGAGCAGCCUCUAGCCGCAUAGAAUAAUGUAGGUAAGGGAAGUCGGCA